CUGGGGUGAAGUCGUAACAAGGUAGCCGUAUCGGAAGGUGCAGCUGGAUCACCUCCUUUCUAAGGAGAAUU
RNAcentral lists this ribosomal RNA (71 nucleotides) under Clostridioides difficile. RNAcentral describes it as "partial 16S ribosomal RNA". The stretch from base 1 to 59 matches the Rfam family "Bacterial small subunit ribosomal RNA", at positions 1475 to 1533 of the family's 1533-position model. The record is from RNAcentral. Lineage: Bacteria; Bacillati; Bacillota; Clostridia; Peptostreptococcales; Peptostreptococcaceae.